UACGAAGGGGGCUAGCGUUGUUCGGAAUUACUGGGCGUAAAGCGCACGUAGGCGGAUACUUAAGUCAGGGGUGAAAUCCCGGAGCUCAACUCCGGAACUGCCUUUGAUACUGGCGACCUUGAGGCUGGAAGAGGUUAGUGGAAUUCCCAGUGUAGAGGUGAAAUUCGUAGAUAUUGGGAAGAACACCAGUGGCGAAGGCGGCUAACUGGUCCAGAUCUGACGCUGAGGUGCGAAAGCGUGGGGAGCAAACAGG
RNAcentral lists this ribosomal RNA (253 nucleotides) under uncultured bacterium. RNAcentral describes it as "partial 16S ribosomal RNA". It matches the Rfam family "Bacterial small subunit ribosomal RNA", at positions 524 to 776 of the family's 1533-position model. The record is from RNAcentral.